UNCUAACUGCUUUACUUGUGGUGGCCAGGU
This 30-nucleotide non-coding RNA is filed under the name Mus musculus (house mouse). Lineage: Eukaryota; Metazoa; Chordata; Mammalia; Rodentia; Muridae. The record is from RNAcentral.